This 253-nucleotide ribosomal RNA is filed under the name uncultured bacterium. RNAcentral describes it as "partial 16S ribosomal RNA". It matches the Rfam family "Bacterial small subunit ribosomal RNA", at positions 524 to 776 of the family's 1533-position model. The record is from RNAcentral.
UACGAAGGUGCCAAGCGUUGUUCGGAAUCACUGGGCGUAAAGGGCGCGUAGGCGGCGUGGUAAGUCAGAUGUGAAAUCCCGGGGCUCAACCCCGGAACUGCAUCCGAUACUGCCAUGCUUGAGGGUUGGAGAGGUAGCUGGAAUUAUCGGUGUAGCAGUGAAAUGCGUGGAUAUCGAUAGGAACACUCGUGGCGAAGGCGAGCUACUGGACAACAUCUGACGCUGAGGCUCGAAGGCUAGGGGAGCAAAAGGG